Molecule: ribosomal RNA, 603 nt
Filed under: Triticum aestivum (bread wheat)
Lineage: Eukaryota; Viridiplantae; Streptophyta; Magnoliopsida; Poales; Poaceae
Description: partial small subunit ribosomal RNA
Source: RNAcentral
CACUCUCGCAAACGCCCAACCAUGAUCUUCAAACUUGACUUCAGGAAGGCCUUCGAUUCAGUUGCUUGGAACGCCCUAGACAAAAUUCUGGUUGUCCGUGGUUUCUCCCAAACCUUUCGUAGUUGGAUUCAAAAUAUUCUCCAUACUGGCAAGGCUGCCAUCCUCCUAAACAGCAUUCCAGGUCGCUGGACUCCAUGUAAGAAUGGCCUGCGCCAGGGAGACCCGGCCUCCCCCUACCUCUUCCUAAUUGUCGUCGAUCUGCUCCAGCAACUUAUCCUCCAGAACUCCGAUCCCGACCUCCACCACCCCAUUUUUACCCACCUACCCCCUACCAUUCUCCAAUACGCCGACGAUACAUUGAUCAUCGCAGCCGCCUCCCCCGCUGCCGCUGUCACACUCAAAAAAAUCCUUCAGAAUUUUGCUCAGGCUACUGGCCUCACCAUAAACUUCUCCAAAACCACCCUAGCAACCUUGUACGCAAAUGAAAACCUAGCUGCCAGCACUGCCCUCGCCAUGGACUGCACACGCGCUCCCUUCCUCAAACCUACCUUGGACUCCCCCUUGCUCCGACCAAGCCUCCCUCCAAUGCCUUCGCCCCGUUGA